AGAACGAACGCUGGCGGCAGGCCUAACACAUGCAAGUCGAACGCCCCGCAAGGGGAGUGGCAGACGGGUGAGUAACGCGUGGGAACGUGCCCUUCGGUUCGGAAUAACCCGGGGAAACUCGGGCUAAUACCGGAUACGUCCGUAAGGAGAAAGAUUUAUCGCCGAAGGAUCGGCCCGCGUCGGAUUAGCUAGUUGGUGGGGUAAUGGCCCACCAAGGCGACGAUCCGUAGCUGGUCUGAGAGGAUGAUCAGCCACACUGGGACUGAGACACGGCCCAGACUCCUACGGGAGGCAGCAGUGGGGAAUAUUGGACAAUGGGCGAAAGCCUGAUCCAGCCAUGCCGCGUGAGUGAAGAAGGCCUUAGGGUUGUAAAGCUCUUUCAGCGGGGAAGAUAAUGACGGUACCCGCAGAAGAAGCCCGGCUAACGUUCGUGCCAGCAGCCGC
Molecule: ribosomal RNA, 444 nt
Filed under: uncultured bacterium
Lineage: Bacteria
Description: SSU rRNA
Rfam family: Bacterial small subunit ribosomal RNA
Source: RNAcentral